Molecule: non-coding RNA, 361 nt
Organism: Oncorhynchus mykiss (rainbow trout)
Lineage: Eukaryota; Metazoa; Chordata; Actinopteri; Salmoniformes; Salmonidae
Source: RefSeq, a predicted model, not a curated record
UGACCCAUUGGGUGAAUAAACGUGGUUUGAGCUUUAAUAAUUGUCUGUGAGUUUUUACUCGGUUCAUUUAGAACCUAACAGUUGGUGCUGCGAGCAAUGUUCACCACGAUUUACAGUCGAACUACAGAGUCCGAAUCAGUGAAACAGGAACCUGAACCAGAAAUACGCUAAGUCCACUCCUGUUUCCUGAUUAAGAGGUGAUAACCACUACCAUUCUCAACUAUCUCCUGACAUGAACUGAAGCCACAUCUCAUGUGCCCACUCAUCCACCGGCACAUUGAACGUUUCCUCCCCAAGCAUUUCAAAUCCUGUCCUGCACUGGUCAAGCCUCUGAACACCUCAACUCAUGCCUCAUACCCUC